GACAGAGGUGCCAAGCGUUAGGCGGAAUCACUGGGCUUAAAGCGUGUGUAGGCGGAUUUGUAAGUACCUUGUGAAAUCCCAUGGCUCAACCAUGGAACUGCUCGGUAUACUGCGAAUCUUGAGCCACUUAGGGGCUACCGGAACAAAUGGUGGAGCGGUGAAAUGCGUAGAUAUCAUUUGGAACGCCAAUGGUGAAAACAGACAGCUGGGAGUGUGCUGACGCUGAGACACGAAAGCCAGGGGAGCGAACGGG
This 253-nucleotide ribosomal RNA is filed under the name uncultured bacterium. RNAcentral describes it as "partial 16S ribosomal RNA". It matches the Rfam family "Bacterial small subunit ribosomal RNA", at positions 524 to 776 of the family's 1533-position model. The record is from RNAcentral.